CAGCACCUCAAGUGGUCAGGAUGAUUAUUGGGCCUAAAGCAUCCGUAGCCGGCGCUGUAAGUUUUCGGUUAAAUCUGUACGCUCAACGUACAGGCUGCCGGGAAUACUGCAGCGCUAGGGAGUGGGAGAGGUAGACGGUACUCGGUAGGAAGGGGUAAAAUCCUUUGAUCUAUUGAUGACCACCUGUGGCGAAGGCGGUCUACCAGAACACGUCCGACGGUGAGGGAUGAAAGCUGGGGGAACAAACCGGAUUAGAUACCCGAGUAGUCC
Molecule: ribosomal RNA, 270 nt
Filed under: uncultured archaeon
Lineage: Archaea
Description: partial 16S ribosomal RNA
Rfam family: Archaeal small subunit ribosomal RNA
Source: RNAcentral